Protopterus annectens (West African lungfish) is the source of this 654-nucleotide long non-coding RNA. RefSeq lists it as uncharacterized. The record is from RefSeq and is a predicted model, not a curated record. The transcript is spliced from 3 exons. Lineage: Eukaryota; Metazoa; Chordata; Ceratodontiformes; Protopteridae.
CUUUUUCUUGCUUUUGUAGGAAUUACUGCUGUAUCCCUCUCAUUAUCCUGCUGAUCACUUAAUGAACCUGGGGAGUUUUGCUGCAGUUACGGCUCUCGGAAGAAAGACCUGCACCAGAGAUCUGCAUGUAUUUUUAAAACAAACUGCAAGCCUCUCCUAAAGACCAUUUCAUCUCUGAUCCAUAAGAAACAUUUCAUGUUGGCAGAGAAAGUGCAAGAAACACAAUCCUGAAAAGCCUUUGGAUCUGAAACUUACUUUGAAGACAGGAAAAUAAAACACUCCAUCGUAACUACUGCACUGACCAUUUCUCUGAGUUUGCCAAGAAAAUCAUGUCAUCUUAUGGAGGCCACUGACUUAAUUUUGGACAAGUAUGAGUAGAAGGACCUCAGAAAUUAGAUUUUGAAAAUACAUGACAAAUACACGUAUUUCAGGAGUAUACAGAGGUCUCUUUACAGAGUACACAGGAAAUGUGAUUUUCUUUUAUUUUGCUGGACGCUUACUUCUAUUAUAAGAAUAUUGAAUACAAACACUUAUUAUAAAAAGAUGAAUUGUUCUUUUCCUAGAAUCACGCCAUCAAAUAUAUAUUGCUUUGAAAAAUUAAUAUUGGAAAAGAAGUACUGUAUAACUACACAGUCCGGUAUCUUUGCCUACCCU